Molecule: transfer RNA, 66 nt
Filed under: Ascaloptynx appendiculata
Lineage: Eukaryota; Metazoa; Arthropoda; Insecta; Neuroptera; Myrmeleontidae
Description: tRNA-Leu
Rfam family: tRNA
About the family: Transfer RNA (tRNA) molecules are approximately 80 nucleotides in length. Their secondary structure includes four short double-helical elements and three loops (D, anti-codon, and T loops).
Source: RNAcentral
GUUGCUUUGGCAGAGUAGUGCAUUGAAUUUAGAAUUCGAAAAUGUAAAUUUUUAUUACAAGUAAUA